This 439-nucleotide ribosomal RNA is filed under the name uncultured bacterium. RNAcentral describes it as "bacterial SSU rRNA". It matches the Rfam family "Bacterial small subunit ribosomal RNA", at positions 355 to 814 of the family's 1533-position model. The record is from RNAcentral.
UCGGGAAUUUUGGGCAAUGGGCGAAAGCCUGACCCAGCAACGCCGCGUGAAGGAUGAAGUAUUUCGGUAUGUAAACUUCGAAAGAAUAGGAAGAAUAAAUGACGGUACUAUUUAUAAGGUCCGGCUAACUACGUGCCAGCAGCCGCGGUAAUACGUAGGGACCAAGCGUUGUUCGGAAUUACUGGGCGUAAAGAGUGUGUAGGUGGUGUCGUAAGUUUGGUGUGAAAUCUCCCGGCUUAACUGGGAGGGUGCGCCGAAGACUGCGAUGCUGGAGUAUGGGAGAGGAAAGCGGAAUUCCUGGUGUAGCGGUGAAAUGCGUAGAUAUCAGGAGGAACACCUGCGGUGUAGACGGCUUUCUGGACCAUUACUGACACUGAGACACGAAAGCGUGGGUAGCAAACAGGAUUAGAUACCCGAGUAGUCCCUGAGCGGGCUGGCA